UUUCCUUCUCGAUCCGCUGCUGCUACAGACUGAAGACGUCACUUUACUCAACCUAACCUGAAAAACAAGUUCUGUUAACUUCUACAUUCGCCGACGUAGCGUUUACUCUCGAAAAAUAAUAAUAUUUAAUUUGGAAAUACAACCGGUUUUUCCACGCGGUCAUCUUUACAACGAAUGACGGCGUCCUUUUACGUUCGAAUUCUCGUUAAUAAUUACCUUGAUUUGAUAGAGUUGAAGUUGAGUUGAAGAAACAACGUUAUCUCGAGGAUGAGACCCCGUUAUAAAUUUUGUGACCAUCCUCUUUUUUAAACAUAACCUAGUACUUGUUCAAUAUUUUGAUGUUUUUUGACUGUGUGACUUUAAGUAAAUCGUUUCAACAUUAUAAAUCUCACAAGGUCCUCACAUAUCUGACGUCGUGCCUGAAGAAGACAGCUAAGCUGUCGAAACAUUGUAGCACCAAUUGCGAAUAAUAAAAUUAUAUCAUCGUUAA
This is a non-coding RNA of Onthophagus taurus, 490 nucleotides long. The record is from RefSeq and is a predicted model, not a curated record. NCBI's taxonomy places the organism in Eukaryota, Metazoa, Arthropoda, Insecta, Coleoptera, Scarabaeidae.